UACGUAGGGGGCAAGCGUUGUUCGGAUUUACUGGGUGUAAAGGGCGCGCAGGUGUGUCUUCAAGUCAGAGGUGAAAUCUCCCGGCUUAACUGGGAAACUGCCUUUGAUACUGUUGAUCUUGAGUACGGAAUAGAGAGACGGAAUUCCAGGUGUAGUGGUGAAAUACGUAGAUAUCUGGAAGAACACCAGUGGCGAAGGCGGUCUCUUGGUCCUUUACUGACACUAAGGCGCGAAAGCGUGGGGAUCAAACAGG
RNAcentral lists this ribosomal RNA (253 nucleotides) under uncultured bacterium. RNAcentral's name for it is "partial 16S ribosomal RNA". It matches the Rfam family "Bacterial small subunit ribosomal RNA", at positions 524 to 776 of the family's 1533-position model. The record is from RNAcentral.